UUUGCGCUAGGGAUUGAAGUGGCAUCCUUUUACGAAGAAUGAGUAAAAGAUAUAACGGAAAGCCCGCUCGAGC
Molecule: small RNA, 73 nt
Filed under: Tenacibaculum todarodis
Lineage: Bacteria; Pseudomonadati; Bacteroidota; Flavobacteriia; Flavobacteriales; Flavobacteriaceae
Description: Tenacibaculum sp. LPB0136 Flavo-1 RNA
Rfam family: Flavo-1 RNA
Source: Rfam by way of RNAcentral